Molecule: ribosomal RNA, 346 nt
Filed under: uncultured bacterium
Lineage: Bacteria
Description: partial 16S ribosomal RNA
Rfam family: Bacterial small subunit ribosomal RNA
Source: RNAcentral
GCUACGGGUGGCAGCAGUAGGGAAUAUUGCUCAAUGGGGGAAACCCUGAAGCAGCAACGCCGCGUGGAGGAUGAAGGUUUUCGGAGUGUAAACUCCUUUUGAUAGAGAAGAAAAUGACGGUAUCUAAAGAAUAAGCACCGGCUAACGCCGUGCCAGCAGCCGCGGUAAUACGGAGGGUGCAAGCGUUACGCGGAAUCACUGGGCGUAAAGAGCGCGUAGGCGGGAUAGCAAGUCAGAUGGGAAAUCCUAGGGCUUAACCAUAGAACUGCAUUUGAAACUGUUAUUCUAGAGUAUGGGAGAGGUAGGUGGAAUUCUUGGUGUAGCGGUGCAAUCCGUAGAGAUCAAG